CCACACCCAAAUCUUUUUUCGUGAACUGUUGUCGUUUGGAUUUUCUUGAAAAAUCUGUAUUUCUAUUAUAAAUUUUGUAUUGGAUGAACUCCGGUUUCUAUCGAACGUUUUUGGCAUCAAGUCAAAAGCGCCAAUGAAAGUAUACAACUUUCAGCAGUGGAUGUCUAGGCUCGCACCUCGAUGAAGAACGCUGCGAACUGCGAUACGUAAUGCGAAUUGCAGAAUUCAGUGAGUCAUCGAAUCUUUGAACGCACAUUGCACUUUCGGGUUAUGCCUGGAAGUAUGUCUGUGUCAGUGUCCGUACAUCAAACUUGUUUCUUUUCUUUUCUUUUCUUUGGAAGAAAGAAAGGAAGCAGACAUGAAGUGUCUUUUUACUUUUGUAAGAAGUCCUUUGAAAUGUACGAGCUUUUUAUGUAAACGAUGGAAUGCGGCUGCAAUGUGUAGCUUUGUUGUAUUUGUACAUGACAUGAGCUCUCGGAUUUUCUGGUAUGUUCUCUUUGGGGACAAAAAAGGAAAGACGAAAGUAUUUGUGUGAUGUGUAAAUCCUACACGAGGUCGUGUUUUCAUUGGGAAAGCUACACUCCAAUUGAAUUUCAUUUUGGACCUGACAUCAGACAAGAGCACCCGCUGAAUUUAAG
Molecule: ribosomal RNA, 638 nt
Filed under: Salisapilia tartarea
Lineage: Eukaryota; Oomycota; Peronosporomycetes; Peronosporales; Salisapiliaceae
Description: eukaryotic LSU rRNA
Rfam family: 5.8S ribosomal RNA (bases 146-300)
Source: RNAcentral